AGAGAAAGGAGAGGUAAAAAUGUUGUACAUCAGCUCUCAGUAACCUUAGAAGAUUUAUAUAAUGGUGCAACAAGAAAACUGGCUCUGCAAAAGAAUGUGAUUUGUGACAAAUGUGAAGGCCGAGGUGGUAAGAAAGGAGCAGUAGAGUGCUGUCCCAAUUGCUGAGGUACUGGAAUGCAAAUAAGAAUUCAUCAGAUAGGACCUGGAAUGGUCCAGCAAAUUCAAUUAGUGUGCAUGGAGUGCCAGGGCCAUGGGGAACGGAUCAGUCCUAAAGACAGAUGUAAAAGCUGCAAUGGAAGGAAGAUAGUUCGAGAAAAUAAGAUUCUAGAAGUUCAUAUUGACAAAGGCAUGAAAGAUGGCCAGAAGAUAACAUUCCAUGGUGAAGGAGACCAAGAACCAGGACUAGAGCCAGGAGAUAUUAUCAUUGUGUUAGAUCAGAAGGACCAUGCUGUUUUUACUCGACGAGGAGAAGACCUUUUCAUGUGUAUGGACAUACAGCUGGUUGAAGCAUUAUGUGGCUUCCAGAAGCCAAUAUCUACUCUUGACAACCGAACCAUAGUCAUCACCUCUCAUCCAGGUCAGAUUGUCAAGCAUGGAGAUAUCAAGUGUGUGCUAAAUGAAGGCAUGCCAAUUUAUCGUAGACCAUAUGAAAAGGGUCGCCUAAUCAUCGAAUUUAAGGUAAAUUUUCCUGAAAAUGGCUUUCUUUCUCCUGAUAAACUGUCUUUGCUGGAAAAACUCCUACCUGAGAGGAAGGAAGUAGAAGAGACUGAUGAAAUGGAUCAAGUAGAACUAGUGGACUUUGAUCCAAAUCAAGAGAGACGGCGCCAUUACAAUGGAGAAGCAUAUGAGGAUGAUGAACAUCAUCCCAGAGGUGGUGUUCAGUGUCAAACCUCUUAAUGAGGCCAGUGAAUGAGACUCACUGCUGACAUUUUAUAUGCAGUAGUGAAAUGAGUGAAGGACUAUAAUCAUAAUACGCUCACUACUUACUAUUGUUUUUCUUAUAAUAUUCAACUAUAGUAGUGUUUUAAAAGUUAAACGAAUAAACGCAAAUAUAAAAGCUGACUUUGCCCUGUAUGUAUGAUGACUUCAGUGUGCAAGGUGAAAUUUAAUACCUGUAAAAAUUACUUUAAGAAAAAGUUCCCCUAGCAUUUAUUAGGCUAAACCUUGUAAUUGAUUUCAGCUAUGUAUGUGGACAAGCUUACACUGAAAUGCUAGGUGUAUGUAUUGGCUUCAUUAUGACCCUUCAUUGUUAAGCUAUGAAAUUAAAACUCUGUAUUUAACUGGCAAUCAGAAAAAGAAAACUUAAAUUUGUAGACACAUGUUGGUCUGUAUAGUUAAUUUGUAUUAGGUGGGAUUCAUUGUGAUGCCUCUGAAUUUAUUUUGCCUCAGCUGUUACUUGAAGAUGGCAUACUACAUAAUCUAGCCCAUGGUAUCAGUGAUAGAAAAGAUGCCUUUCAAAAGAAGGGGUUUAUCAUAAUAUGCUGCUUCUUGAGGGCUUGCACUUCUAGAGUUGCAUUCCCUCUGUGCCAUCCAUAUAUAAUAUAUCCAUAUAUAUGUAACUUGACCAGUCUUGGUUAUUUUUUCCCUCUUCUCUUUGGACCAUGAUAAGCCCCCCUGAGUAGUAACUUCCAAAAGUGGAUAAUUUAGAAGUUGAAGAAGAGACCUUUACAUGGAGAGGUAAUUUGCAUGCAUAAUAUAGGAAGGUCUUCUUUAGGUAUGUUACAGGCUUACUUUAAACCAUUUGACUUAUGCUCCAAAGUAACUGUAAUUCAAUGUUGGUAGUAUAGCAAACAAUGAAUAGCUUUAAUUGUAUGUUUAAAAGUCUCAUUGAUGUGUUCACAUGCUUAAAUCUGGGUAUCAGAAUAUAAGCAGUUCUUGAAAUGUAUGAAUGUCUCUUUAAUAUACUGGUUACAAACCA
This is a non-coding RNA of Microcebus murinus (gray mouse lemur), 1918 nucleotides long. Lineage: Eukaryota; Metazoa; Chordata; Mammalia; Primates; Cheirogaleidae. The record is from RefSeq and is a predicted model, not a curated record.